Molecule: long non-coding RNA, 682 nt
Organism: Thalassophryne amazonica
Lineage: Eukaryota; Metazoa; Chordata; Actinopteri; Batrachoidiformes; Batrachoididae
Exons: 2
Source: RefSeq, a predicted model, not a curated record
CAGAUUUCAGAACACUGACCAUAAAAAACUCCUGGAAGUGAUGCUACUAAUGCUGUUUGGUUUAGUCGUCCUGGAACGGCAUCUAUUUUAAUUCCUAAGGUUUGAACGGUUCAAGAGUGAAUUACAUCAUCUGCCGUAAUUAAGAGUUGAAUAGGGGUUUUAAAAGGUGUAACCAUACGGUGGUCUACAUGUAAAAGGCGAAAUUCUCCAUGUAUUAGGUCGUUAGUUGGAAUUAUAUAGGAAGAGAAUUCUAAGUUGUUUUGAUCAGUAUAUUCAUAGGUUCAAUACCAUUGGUGACCAACAGCUUUAAUAGUUAAAGAAGGGAAAUUUAGUUCUUCUAUUAAAUAUAAGAUUCAUAGGGAUGGAAGGGCCAAUGAAAUAAGAAUUAGGGCGGGGAUUAUAGUUCAGAUCGUUUCAGCUACAUUAGAGUCUAGAAUAAAUUUGUUAUAGGUUUUAGUAGAGGUUAAGUGAAUAAAAUAUAAAGUACAAAAGAGCUAAUAAAGAUAAUUACAAUUAAGCCUGAAUCAUGGAAGAGUAAUAACUUUUCUAUGUGAGGGGAUGUAGCAUCUUGAAAACUAAGUUGGGCGGCUAGAGGCAUGUAGGGCUCGUAAGGCUUUAACUUACAACUUCGUUAUGACAAAACGAUAUAAUUUUUACUAGGGCUCUAGUAAGGUGGCCGAGA